GAUCAUGUCAGGAUGAACGCUAGCUACAGGCUUAACACAUGCAAGUCGAGGGGCAGCAUGACGAUAGCUUGCUAUUGUUGAUGGCGACCGGCGCACGGGUGAGUAACGCGUAUCCAACCUUCCCGUUGCUAGGGAAUAACCUUGCGAAAGUAAGACUAAUACCCUAUGAAGUUCUUCGCAGGCAUCUAAAGAGAACGAAAGAUUUAUCGGCAACGGAUGGGGAUGCGU
RNAcentral lists this ribosomal RNA (228 nucleotides) under uncultured bacterium. RNAcentral's name for it is "partial 16S ribosomal RNA". It matches the Rfam family "Bacterial small subunit ribosomal RNA", at positions 15 to 236 of the family's 1533-position model. The record is from RNAcentral.